UGGGGAAUUUUGGACAAUGGGCGAAAGCCUGAUCCAGCAAUGCCGUGUGUGUGAAGAAGGCCUUCGGGUUGUAAAGCACUUUUGUCCGGAAAGAAAUCCUUGGCUCUAAUACAGUCGGGGGAUGACGGUACCGGAAGAAUAAGCACCGGCUAACUACGUGCCAGCAGCCGCGGUAAUACGUAGGGUGCAAGCGUUAAUCGGAAUUACUGGGCGUAAAGCGUGCGCAGGCGGUUUGCUAAGACCGAUGUGAAAUCCCCGGGCUCAACCUGGGAACUGCAUUGGUGACUGGCAGGCUAGAGUAUGGCAGAGGGGGUAGAAUUCCACGUGUAGCAGUGAAAUGCGUAGAGAUGUGGAGGAAUACCGAUGGCGAAGGCAGCCCCCUGGCCAAGUACUGACGCUCAUGCACGAAAGCGUGGGGGAGCAAACAGGAUUAGAUACCCCUGGUAGUCCACGCCCCUAAACGAUGUCAACUAGUUGUUGGGGAUUCAUUUCCUUAGUAACGUAGCUAACGCGUGAAGUUGACCGCCUGGGGAGUACGGUCGCAAGAUUAAAACUCAAAUGAAUUGAC
This 568-nucleotide ribosomal RNA is filed under the name uncultured bacterium. RNAcentral's name for it is "partial 16S ribosomal RNA". It matches the Rfam family "Bacterial small subunit ribosomal RNA", at positions 355 to 914 of the family's 1533-position model. The record is from RNAcentral.